RNAcentral lists this long non-coding RNA (532 nucleotides) under Mytilus galloprovincialis (Mediterranean mussel). The record is from RNAcentral. Lineage: Eukaryota; Metazoa; Mollusca; Bivalvia; Mytilida; Mytilidae.
UCAGAUCCAAAUUGAUUAAUUAGUGUCAGCCAUAACGUUUAUAUUAUCACACUUCACCUGAAAAAGUAUGUAUUGAAAGCCAAACAUCUUUUGGUCAUAAAUAUUUUUUAUUUUCCUCUGUGUAGAUCAAAUGCAAUCUCUCCUGCAGCUAUCGCUAUUGUAUGAACACGAUGUAAAACAAUCCCUCUUGUUAUUACGUUCUUUCGGUUGUUCUCUCUUUCGACCUAUAAGUCCAAUAAGCGCGUCUGUUGUGUCUGAACACUGCUGGAGACACAACUGUAGAAAAAAUGAACAUUGUGAGCAUGUCCUGGUGCUACUGGCUAUACUUGCAUUAAGUAUGAUGAAUACAAAUAUCAUAGGCAUAUAAUGCUUCAUUUUUGUAGAUCCUGUAAUAAAAUCAAAGAAUUAUUCGAGAUACUUUUGUAGGUUCUGUAAUAAAAGCAAAGAAUUAUUCGAAAUACUUAUUUAUUGUAUUUACCACAACUUUAAACACUUUUGGCUACAUCAAGACAGUCAGUUUUAUUGGUGAAGG